Long non-coding RNA from Rhododendron vialii, 1984 nucleotides. RefSeq lists it as uncharacterized. The transcript has 2 exons. The record is from RefSeq and is a predicted model, not a curated record. Lineage: Eukaryota; Viridiplantae; Streptophyta; Magnoliopsida; Ericales; Ericaceae.
CAGAAAAAGUAGAGAAGCUUCACACAUAAUUCAGAACUGAAAAGUCAAAACAAUAAGUGAAGUAUAAAGCGUGUGUGUUUCUGAAUGCAUAACAAAACAUGGUAACGACAAACUAAAGAUGCAGUAACAGGCUGAACUUAAGGUAAAGAAUCUUCACAUUCAUGGGAAACAAGGUUAAUGCAAUCACCUUCAAGAAGCCACUAGAACGGUAGAACUUCUAUUGCUAGUUCAUACAUUAAUGCCUUUAUGCUUUGGUGAUUUGAAAAUUUUUGGGUUUGGUUUUUGGGGUAAUGAGUGGAGAGAGAAACUAGGGUAAUAAUUAGAGAUAGGGGUAAUGAGGGGGGAGAGAAAAAUGAGAGUAAUAAUCUGAGAUGGAGUAAUGAGUGGAGAGAGAAAUGAUUGGAAGUAGGGAUAAUGAGUGUUUUUGGAGUUUGAAUUUUUUUUUUUCAAAUUAGGAACCGAACAAAGCAUAAGUUUCCUCAGAUAAGAUACUAGCUUCCAAAAGUUUCUUAUUUUGUAUUGAAUUUGCGGACCUCUGUGCAGAAUUUUGAAGCUGGUCCACUUUUCGCUCCGCAUCUUCAAGUUUAUUAACCAGCUCUGUGUUUCUGACCUCAGCAUAUGUACAAGCCUUCCUAGCUUCUUCAGCAGCCUGUCCCCCCGACAACAGCAAAGCCUGUAAAGCAUUCCUCCAAGUCAGUGAACUCCACAACUUUCGUGUAGCUUGAGAAUCAAUGUAACUAAUAAGGCUUUUGUUCGGAUGAAACUGAUCUGAUAUGGCUAAUAUGGGUGACAUGAAUUGCUUAAAUGGUGAUUGGAAUGUUGCAUCGGUUCUGUUCAUUAUUAUUUUAUUUCAAUUCCAUGGAGGCGAAAAAUGAGAUGAUAAGUAAUUUAGCAAAACAAACCUAACAAAUAUAAAACCAUAGCUAAACAAAAAGAUCCACCAUUCUUUAGCUGUCUAACCAGAUUGAAGUGGUAGUAAUAGUCUACUUUGAGGCAACAUAACCCGAGAAAUAGCAACAUAAAGAUCCACCAUUCGUUAGCUGCCUAAUGACUCUAAUCUACAGAUAGCAUCGUUUCACAUUGUGUAUAUUUUGUUGCCGUAAAUAUUGGUAAGAGUUCAAGUCAGAGAGUGUACCUUCAAACUCUCUACUUCAGCUGUUAAAGAAUCAAUCUUUGCUGUGUCUUGAACUAUGAUUGGGGUCUCCUUAACUACAGGAGGUGCUUCUUUAAUAGCUUUGCGUGCCGCCUCUUGUUCCUUGAUAACUCUGGCAUUUGCCUCUUCUACUUGUAUUUGCAUUGCAUGCAAAGCAACCUGUAACUUGGCAAUUUCUUGGGCCUUUGCCUCUUCCAGAUCAGUCUGUUUUUUGAGGAAACAACAAUAUGGUGCAAAUCAGGUUUGGUCACUACCAUAUCAUCCAGAGACAAGUCGUAACUAAAUAAAAAAAUACCCUUAAUCGCUUCUCGAGCUGCAACCGCCACGUAAGUUCCUCCACACGCUUUUCUAGCUUGUCUUUUGCUUCUUUGAGGGCCCCUGUUUCUCUUGCAGCCUGGAAGAAUUUGCAUGAACAGUUAGAACUAGAAAGUUAUUCACCAUCGACACCGCAUUAAGCAUUAAACUUUCAACAAGAGAGGAAAAAACACUAAGCAAUGAGAGCAAACCAUUUUGAGCAUCCUGAGCUCUUUCCGAGCAACUCUUCGCCUCCAACCACAUUGAGAAACAAUUACAGCCUUUUGAAUGCUUCUAUAAUAAGAGUAUGCUCUGUGACGACGCAAAUGAGCCUGCAAGCCAAAAUCAUUUGCUUAAUAUUCAGUCACUUGGAAACCAAAUGAAGCGGGAUUGAUAGAUACUAUAUGGCGAUAGGACCUGGAUAGUGAUUGCAGCCUUAGUUUGCUUUCUGAAUCUGAAUUCAGUGGAAGCACUCAUUGCCCUUAAGCCUGUCUGCAAUGUGAUUGCAGAGGAUCGCACUGUUAUGUAGGAUUUCCG